RNAcentral lists this ribosomal RNA (448 nucleotides) under uncultured bacterium. RNAcentral's name for it is "bacterial SSU rRNA". It matches the Rfam family "Bacterial small subunit ribosomal RNA", at positions 8 to 446 of the family's 1533-position model. The record is from RNAcentral.
AGAGUUUGAUCCUGGCUCAGAUUGAACGCUGGCGGCGUGCUUAACACAUGCAAGUCGUGCGAGAAAGGGGACCUCGGUCCCUGAGUAGAGCGGCGCACGGGUGAGUAACGCGUGGAUAAUCUCCCCAGAAGUUCGGGAUAACGGCGGGAAACUGCCGCUAAUACCGGAUACGCUCCAAUUUCGGUUGGGGGAAAGGCGGCCUCUGUUUACAAGCUGUCGCUUCUGGAUGAGUCCGCGUCCCAUUAGCUUGUUGGUGGGGUAAUGGCCUACCAAGGCUACGAUGGGUAGCUGGUCUGAGAGGAUGAUCAGCCACACUGGAACUGAAACACGGUCCAGACUCCUACGGGAGGCAGCAGUGGGGAAUAUUGCGCAAUGGGGGAAACCCUGACGCAGCGACGCCGUGUGAGGGAUGAAGGCUUUCGGGUCGUAAACCUCUGUCGGGAGGGAA